AAUAUUGCACAAUGGAGGAAACUCUGAUGCAGCGACGCCGCGUGAACGAUGAAGGCUUUCGGGUCGUAAAGUUCUGUCCUCAGGGAAGAACCCUCAUGGUAGGGAAUGACCAUGAGCUGACGGUACCUGGGAAGGAAGCCCUGGCUAACUACGUGCCAGCAGCCGCGGUAAUACGUAGAGGGCAAGCGUUGUCCGGAAUCACUGGGCGUAAAGGGUACGUAGGCGGAUAUAUAAGUCAAAUGUGAAAGGCACCGGCUUAACCGGUGAGCUGCAUUUGAAACUGUAUAUCUUGAGUUCAGGAGAGGAGAGCGGAAUUCCUGGUGUAGCGGUGGAAUGCGUAGAUAUCAGGAAGAACACCAGUGGCGAAGGCGACUCUCUGGCCUGAAACUGACGCUCAGGUACGAAAGCUGGGGUAGCAAACG
RNAcentral lists this ribosomal RNA (422 nucleotides) under uncultured bacterium. Its description in RNAcentral is "partial 16S ribosomal RNA". It matches the Rfam family "Bacterial small subunit ribosomal RNA", at positions 360 to 774 of the family's 1533-position model. The record is from RNAcentral.